GACGAAUAGGACAAGUGUUAUUCUUCGUGAUUGGGCGUAAAGGGCUCGUAGGCGGUUUGUCGCGUCGGGAGUGAAAACCCAGGGCUUAACCCUGGGCUGGCUUCCGAUACGGGCAGACUAGAGGUAUGCAGGGGAGAACGGAAUUCCUGGUGUAGCGGUGAAAUGCGCAGAUAUCAGGAGGAACACCGGUGGCGAAGGCGGUUCUCUGGGCAUUACCUGACGCUGAGGAGCGAAAGUGUGGGGAGCGAACAGG
Molecule: ribosomal RNA, 253 nt
Filed under: uncultured bacterium
Lineage: Bacteria
Description: partial 16S ribosomal RNA
Rfam family: Bacterial small subunit ribosomal RNA
Source: RNAcentral